RNAcentral lists this ribosomal RNA (266 nucleotides) under uncultured bacterium. RNAcentral's name for it is "partial 16S ribosomal RNA". It matches the Rfam family "Bacterial small subunit ribosomal RNA", at positions 524 to 795 of the family's 1533-position model. The record is from RNAcentral.
UACGUAGGGUGCGAGCGUUGUCCGGAAUUAUUGGGCGUAAAGAGCUCGUAGGCGGCUUGUCGCGUCGGAUGUGAAGCCCGGGGCUUAACCCCGGGUCUGCAUUCGAUACGGGCAGGCUGGAGUGUGGUAGGGAGAUCGGAAUUCCUGGUGUAGCGGUGAAAUGCGCAGAUAUCAGGAGGAACACCGGUGGCGAAGGCGGGUCUCUGGCCGAUAUCGACGCUGAGGAGCGAAAGCGUGGGAGCGAACAGGAUAGACUACCCAUAGUC